RNAcentral lists this ribosomal RNA (208 nucleotides) under uncultured bacterium. RNAcentral's name for it is "partial 16S ribosomal RNA". It matches the Rfam family "Bacterial small subunit ribosomal RNA", at positions 568 to 774 of the family's 1533-position model. The record is from RNAcentral.
CUCGUAGGUGGCCAACUAAGUCAGACGUGAAAUCCCUCGGCUUAACCGGGGAACUGCGUCUGAUACUGGAUGGCUUGAAUCCGGGAGAGGGAUGUGGAAUUCCAGGUGUAGCGGUGAAAUGCGUAGAUAUCUGGAGGAACACCGGUGGCGAAGGCGGCAUCCUGGACCGGUACUGACACUGAGGAGCGAAAGCCAGGGGGAGCAAACG